UAAGACGAAGGUGGCAAGCGUUAUUCGGAUUUACUGGGCAUAAAGCGCGCGUAGGCGGCUUGGCAAGUCGGGGGUGAAAGCCCGCAGCUCAACUGCGGAACUGCCUUCGAUACUGCCGGGCUUGAGGGCGGGAGGGGUGAUUGGAACUCCAGGUGUAGCGGUGAAAUGCGUAGAUAUCUGGAGGAACACCGGAGGCGAAGGCGAAUCACUGGACCGCAUCUGACGCUGAGGCGCGAAAGCUAGGGGAGCAAACAGGAUUAGAUACCCUGGUAGUCCUAGCUGUAAACGAUGGGCACUAGGCAGUGGAGGUCCGAUGCCGUCACUGUCGGAGUUAAUAUGUUAAGUGCCCCGCCUGGGGAGUACGGCCGCAAGGCUG
RNAcentral lists this ribosomal RNA (376 nucleotides) under uncultured bacterium. RNAcentral's name for it is "bacterial SSU rRNA". It matches the Rfam family "Bacterial small subunit ribosomal RNA", at positions 521 to 896 of the family's 1533-position model. The record is from RNAcentral.